RNAcentral lists this non-coding RNA (24 nucleotides) under Cricetulus griseus (Chinese hamster). Lineage: Eukaryota; Metazoa; Chordata; Mammalia; Rodentia; Cricetidae. The record is from RNAcentral.
GGUAUGAGAGUAGUGGACAGAAGG